AGUCGACGCUUCUUUUUCACCGGAGCUUGCUCCACCGGAAAAAGAGGAGUGGCGAACGGGUGAGUAACACGUGGGUAACCUGCCCAUCAGAAGGGGAUAACACUUGGAAACAGGUGCUAAUACCGUAUAACAAUCAAAACCGCAUGGUUUUGAUUUGAAAGGCGCUUUCGGGUGUCGCUGAUGGAUGGACCCGCGGUGCAUUAGCUAGUUGGUGAGGUAACGGCUCACCAAGGCCACGUUGCAUAGCCGACCUGAGAGGGUGAUCGGCCACAUUGGGACUGAGACACGGCCCAAACUCCUACGGGAGGCAGCAGUAGGGAAUCUUCGGCAAUGGACGAAAGUCUGACCGAGCAACGCCGCGUGAGUGAAGAAGGUUUUCGGAUCGUAAAACUCUGUUGUUAGAGAAGAACAAGGAUGAGAGUAACUGUUCAUCCCUUGACGGUAUCUAACCAGAAAGCCACGGCUAACUACGUGCCAGCAGCCGCGGUAAUACGUAGGUGGCAAGCGUUGUCCGGAUUUAUUGGGCGUAAAGCGAGCGCAGGCGGUUUCUUAAGUCUGAUGUGAAAGCCCCCGGCUCAACCGGGGAGGGUCAUUGGAAACUGGGAGACUUGAGUGCAGAAGAGGAGAGUGGAAUUCCAUGUGUAGCGGUGAAAUGCGUAGAUAUAUGGAGGAACACCAGUGGCGAAGGCGGCUCUCUGGUCUGUAACUGACGCUGAGGCUCGAAAGCGUGGGGGAGCAACAGGAUU
RNAcentral lists this ribosomal RNA (746 nucleotides) under uncultured bacterium. RNAcentral's name for it is "bacterial SSU rRNA". It matches the Rfam family "Bacterial small subunit ribosomal RNA", at positions 60 to 779 of the family's 1533-position model. The record is from RNAcentral.